GAUGAACGCUGGCGGCGUGCCUAAUACAUGCAAGUCGAGCGAACGGACGAGAAGCUUGCUUCUCUGAUGUUAGCGGCGGACGGGUGAGUAACACGUGGAUAACCUACCUAUAAGACUGGGAUAACUUCGGGAAACCGGAGCUAAUACCGGAUAAUAUUUUGAACCGCAUGGUUCAAAAGUGAAAGACGGUCUUGCUGUCACUUAUAGAUGGAUCCGCGCUGCAUUAGCUAGUUGGUAAGGUAACGGCUUACCAAGGCAACGAUGCAUAGCCGACCUGAGAGGGUGAUCGGCCACCCUGGAACUGAGCCACGGUCCAGACUCCUACGGGAGGCAGCAGUAGGGAAUCUUCCGCAAUAGGCGAAAGCCUGACGGAGCAACGCCGCGUGAGUGAUGAAGGUCUUCGGAUCGUAAAACUCUGUUAUUAGGGAAGAACAUAUGUGUAAGUAACUGUGCACAUCUUGACGGUACCUAAUCAGAAAGCCACGGCUAACUACGUG
Molecule: ribosomal RNA, 497 nt
Filed under: uncultured bacterium
Lineage: Bacteria
Description: partial 16S ribosomal RNA
Rfam family: Bacterial small subunit ribosomal RNA
Source: RNAcentral